This 496-nucleotide ribosomal RNA is filed under the name uncultured bacterium. RNAcentral describes it as "partial 16S ribosomal RNA". It matches the Rfam family "Bacterial small subunit ribosomal RNA", at positions 28 to 506 of the family's 1533-position model. The record is from RNAcentral.
GAUGAACGCUGGCGGCGUGCCUAAUACAUGCAAGUCGAGCGAACAGACGAGGAGCUUUCUCCUCUGACGUUAGCGGCGGACGGGUGAGUAACACGUGGAUAACCUACCUAUAAGACUGGGAUACCUUCGGGAACCCGGAGCUAAUACCGGAUAAUAUAUUGAACCGCAUGGUUCAAUAGUGAAAGACGGUUUUGCUGUCACUUAUAGAUGGUACCGGGCCGCAUAAGUAAGUGGGCAAGGUAACGGCUUACCAAGGCGACGAUGCGUAGCCGACCUGAGGGGGUGAUCGGCCACACGGGAACUAGGACACGGCCCAAACCCCACAGGAAGCAGGAGGGAGGAAUACUGCAGCAAGGGGCGAAGGCUUGACGGGGCAACGCCGCGGGGGGAAUGAAGGUUUUCGGAUCGUAAAACUCUGUUGUUAGGGAAGAACAAAUGUGAAAGUAACUAUGCACGUCUGAACGGAACCAAAGCAGAAGGCCACGGCAACCUACGU